GCAUAUGAUCAUGGCUCAGAUUGAACGCUGGCGGCAGGCCUAACACAUGCAAGUCGAGCGGAAAGCUUACCGAGUUAUCUGAACCUUCGGGGAACGAUAACGGCGUCGAGCGGCGGACGGGUGAGUAAUGCCUAGGAAAUUGCCCUGAUGUGGGGGAUAACCAUUGGAAACGAUGGCUAAUACCGCAUGAUGCCUACGGGCCAAAGAGGGGGACCUUCGGGCCUCUCGCGUCAGGAUAUGCCUAGGUGGGAUUAGCUAGUUGGUGAGGUAAGGGCUCACCAAGNGGCUGGGAUCUAGCUGGUCUGAGAGGAUGAUCAGCCACACUGGAACUGAGACACGGUCCAGACUCCUACGGGAGGCAGCAGUGGGGAAUAUUGCACAAUGGGCGCAAGCCUGAUGCAGCCAUGCCGCGUGUGUGAAGAAGGCCUUCGGGUUGUAAAGCACUUUCAGUCGUGAGGAAGGUAGUGUAGUUAAUAGCUGCAUNAUUUGACGUUAGCGACAGAAGAAGCACCGGCUAACUCCGUGCCAGCAGCCGCGGUAAUACGGAGGGUGCGAGCGUUAAUCGGAAUUACUGGGCGUAAAGCGCAUGCAGGUGGUUUGUUAAGUCAGAUGUGAAAGCCCGGGGCUCAACCUCGGAAUAGCAUUUGAAACUGGCAGACUAGAGUACUGUAGUUAGGGGUAGAAUUUCAGGUGUAGCGGUGA
Molecule: ribosomal RNA, 702 nt
Filed under: Vibrio sp. PU-DOSMB6
Lineage: Bacteria; Pseudomonadati; Pseudomonadota; Gammaproteobacteria; Vibrionales; Vibrionaceae
Description: bacterial SSU rRNA
Rfam family: Bacterial small subunit ribosomal RNA
Source: RNAcentral